GAUGAAGAACGUAGCGAAAUGCGAUACUUGGUGUGAAUUGCAGAAUCCCGUGAACCAUCGAGUCUUUGAACGCAAGUUGCGCCCGAAGCCAUUAGGCCGAGGGCACGCCUGCCUGGGCGUCACACGUCGUUGCCCCCCCAUCUACUCCUUCGGGAUUGCGGGGGGCGGAUGAUGGCCUCCCGUGCGCCUCGCCGCGCGGUUGGCAUAAAUGCCAAGUCCUCGGCGACGCACGCCACGACAAUCGGUGGUUGCGAAACCUCGGUUGCCCGUCGUGUGCGGUCGUCGCGCAUCGAGGGCUCGAAAAAAUUGCCGGGUUCCGGCUCGACUUUCAACGCGACCCCAGGUCAGGCGGGGUUACCCGCUGAAUUUAAGCAUAUCAAUAAGCGGAGA
Molecule: unclassified non-coding RNA, 390 nt
Filed under: soil metagenome
Description: partial contains 5.8S ribosomal RNA, internal transcribed spacer 2, and large subunit ribosomal RNA
Rfam family: 5.8S ribosomal RNA (bases 1-122)
Source: RNAcentral